GCAGGAUGUAAAGAAUAUAUCACCUCAAGUCUGUCUUUGACUGCAGUGUCCAGCAUUGUGAGAUCUCUGAGGAAGAUGCCCAGGUAUGGCACAGUGCCUUGAGCACAGGACUACAAGUGGAAAAACAGUAUUAAGUAUUAUACAGGUCUUUCUGAGUCUGUGGAUGGGGUUACUCUGCAGAGCUGAUAGAAUCGCAUACAGUGAAGAGAAGUUCUUCCUUGUUCUGCAGGCCUGUUCAGGAGACAAACCACAGUCAACUUCUCAACCUCGGGAUUCAUAUCCAGAAGUUACCAGAGCUGGCCUGAUCUGCUCCUGCUUGGUGUCGGACUCCACUGCUAUGUGUCUCUGAGUGAUGACGACUAAAUGCAGCCGGUGCAACCAGACAUCACUUCGAUCCUUUACGAUGGACUUCAGAGGAUGAACUGACGCCAACUCCAACUGUAAGAUAUUGAAUACUUCAUAUGCCACUGCCGGAACCUUUGACUUAGGAUGGACCCCAACGAACCUCACCGAAAUGACCUGCCGGUUGAACUGCAAUGCACCUCAUUGAUCUCUGCCUGCAUCACCUUUGUUUAUUGAUGGACUACACUCUUGAAAUGGAAUACAUAGACUAUCAUUUAAUUGCCAACAAAAGCCUUCAUCAGCCAACUAACAAAGGACAAUGCAUCUGUGAACUUCUGCAGUUAAUCCAGGAUGGACUUCAAUGAUAUUAGUCAUUAAACUUACAUUUCAUACAAAAUAUUUGUUUAAACACUGGACCUUAACACUUACUUAGUUUACUAACCUUAUACCAUGACCUGCACUGCACACAAAUAACUAAUAUUGGCAUUAUAUUCAUGUUGUUUAGCCAGAGGGGAACUGGCCCCCACAGUGAGCCUGGUUUCUCCCAAGGUUAUUUUUCUCCAUUAACCAACAUCUUAUGGAGUUUUGUGCUGCUUGCCACAGUUGCCUACAGCUUGCUCACAUGGGUUCUAAAUACAAUUAUUAUUUAUUUAAUUUUUAUACACCAUUUACAAUCAUAUUUAAUCAAACUACACUCAAUGAAUGACUUUAUAGAUAUUACAGUUUCACUCUCUGUUAAAGCAUGAUUUUCUGUAAAGCUGCUUUGAAAUGAUGUGUUGUGAAAAGUGCUAUACAAAUAAAAAUGACUUGACUCAUAUGCUAUUUUACAUGUUUUCUAAAGUCAUCCUGUUGCUGGAACUAACUGAAAUUGCAAAACUAUUAUCUUUGAGACACAAAACUUUCUUCCUCCAGGGGGCGCUUGACGGCUCAGAAAACCGAAUCCCCUAUUAAUCCGCAUUCAAAUCUCAGGAUGUUUUUAUUUAUAUCUAUUUGGAGACAUUUUUACACUGGAUAGUAAUUUCUAAUAAAAAUAUUAUAAUUGCAAUGAUUUGUCCAUGUGGAUGGAAUCCCGCCGCAGUAGUUUAUAUAAAUAACU
Myxocyprinus asiaticus (Chinese sucker) is the source of this 1438-nucleotide long non-coding RNA. RefSeq lists it as uncharacterized. Lineage: Eukaryota; Metazoa; Chordata; Actinopteri; Cypriniformes; Catostomidae. The transcript is spliced from 3 exons. The record is from RefSeq and is a predicted model, not a curated record.